UGUGGGGUGGACUGGAGUCGGUUCCAGCUUGGUCUCAUAAGCCAAACCACGCGGGUUCGAGUCCCGCCCCCGCAA
RNAcentral lists this transfer RNA (75 nucleotides) under Bacteroidales bacterium. RNAcentral describes it as "tRNA-Met". It matches the Rfam family "tRNA". Rfam says of the family: Transfer RNA (tRNA) molecules are approximately 80 nucleotides in length. Their secondary structure includes four short double-helical elements and three loops (D, anti-codon, and T loops). Lineage: Bacteria; Pseudomonadati; Bacteroidota; Bacteroidia; Bacteroidales. The record is from RNAcentral.